GACGUAGGGCGCAAGCGUUGUCCGGAUUUAUUGGGCGUAAAGAGCUCGUAGGCGGCUUGUUGCGUCGUCCGUGAAAACCCGUGGCUCAACUGCGGGCUUGCGGACGAUACGGGCAGGCUGGAGUUCGGUAGGGGAGACUGGAAUUCCUGGUGUAGCGGUGAAAUGCGCAGAUAUCAGGAGGAACACCGGUGGCGAAGGCGGGUCUCUGGGCAAUAACUGACGCUGAGGAGCGAAAGCGUGGGGAGCGAACAGG
This 253-nucleotide ribosomal RNA is filed under the name uncultured bacterium. RNAcentral describes it as "partial 16S ribosomal RNA". It matches the Rfam family "Bacterial small subunit ribosomal RNA", at positions 524 to 776 of the family's 1533-position model. The record is from RNAcentral.